UUCGCCCGGGCGCUGCCCUCUGCCUGCUGUCCCCUGUGCUCCUGUUCCCCGUGGCUGCCCAGGGACAGUGACUCGAAGGAAUUGGGUCUUGAGACACAGCCGAGCCUGUGAGCGCUGACCUGUGUAAAGAAGACACCAGAAUGAGAUGUCUCCACACACAGAGAGCUGCAGCCGAUGCCGGCCGGUGACUUGGGACUUGGAUGCUUAACAGGAGGCUCCCCCUCUCUUGGGAGGUAGAGAGCAGUGAGGAAGGGGACUCAGCCUCCAUGCCUCCCGCCAGCCCAGCUGCGCCCGAAUCACCUCCCUCCUGAAAGGAUGUCAGCCUCUGCUUGGACACCGUGGAGACAGGGCCCUCCUUGUGCUUCAGAAGCAUCAACGUGUCAGAAAAUCAUCUUCACGCCAAGUCUGGAAAAAAUGGCUUUGAGGUUGUGCACACAAAGGAAGGAGGGAGAGCCCCAGGUGUCGCGGAGGACCAUGCGGCUGACAGAGCCAGCAGGGCGGUGGCGUGUGAGCCGUGCUCUGGAUAUAUAAGGAUCUGACGCUGCUGGCAAUGUCUGAGCUCUAUGCUCGCCCAUCUGUCGGCUGCUAUCAUCACCGGGUGGGAUUAGCGGAGAUCCACUCUUUCAUAUUUAAAUCUUCACAAGAGAAUGAAUCACUUUUAUAAUAAAAGAAAAAGACCGU
RNAcentral lists this long non-coding RNA (681 nucleotides) under Homo sapiens (human). Its description in RNAcentral is "HSALNT0402399". The record is from RNAcentral. Lineage: Eukaryota; Metazoa; Chordata; Mammalia; Primates; Hominidae.